CCCUAUUAUUUUAGAAUGUUAAUUGCUUGUGCUUGAGUAGUAUUAGUUAUGUUCUUGAAACUUAAAGAAUUUGGCGGUAUCUCAUUCCGUCCAGAGGAAUCUGUCUCGUUAUCGAUAGUCCGCGUUGGACCUUACUUGGAUUGCUUGUGGUUUGUAUACCGCCGUUUAUUGAUUAUCUUUUUAGAGUUGAGUAAUUUUCUGGUUUCUUUAUUUUGGUUUAUUUCAGGUCAAGGUGCAGCUUGUUUCUAAGUGUAUGAUGGAUUACAUUAUUAUUUGUUUUUGGAUUAUUGAUUUAAAUAUUGGUAUGAAAUUGGAUUUGGUUGUAAUGGUUUGUAGGUUGUUACUGUGAUAAUGGUUCUGGGAUAUGCACACAUCGCCCGUCGCUCUCGUUUUGUUAUUAAUGAGAUAAGUC
Molecule: ribosomal RNA, 412 nt
Filed under: Euchilotermes tensus
Lineage: Eukaryota; Metazoa; Arthropoda; Insecta; Blattodea; Termitidae
Description: partial 12S ribosomal RNA
Source: RNAcentral